CAGCCGCCGCGGGAAUACGUAGGUCCCGAGCGUUGUCCGGAUUUAUUGGGCGUAAAGCGAGCGCAGGCGGUUAGAUAAGUCUGAAGUUAAAGGCUGUGGCUUAACCAUAGUACGCUUUGGAAACUGUUUAACUUGAGUGCAAGAGGGGAGAGUGGAAUUCCAUGUGUAGCGGUGAAAUGCGUAGAUAUAUGGAGGAACACCGGUGGCGAAAGCGGCUCUCUGGCUUGUAACUGACGCUGAGGCUCGAAAGCGUGGGGAGCAAACAGGAUUAGAGACCCCUGUAGUCCCUGUCUCUUAUACA
RNAcentral lists this ribosomal RNA (301 nucleotides) under uncultured bacterium. Its description in RNAcentral is "partial 16S ribosomal RNA". It matches the Rfam family "Bacterial small subunit ribosomal RNA", at positions 509 to 808 of the family's 1533-position model. The record is from RNAcentral.